This 1534-nucleotide ribosomal RNA is filed under the name Bacteroides uniformis. RNAcentral describes it as "bacterial SSU rRNA". It matches the Rfam family "Bacterial small subunit ribosomal RNA". Lineage: Bacteria; Pseudomonadati; Bacteroidota; Bacteroidia; Bacteroidales; Bacteroidaceae. The record is from RNAcentral.
CUUUUACAAUGAAGAGUUUGAUCCUGGCUCAGGAUGAACGCUAGCUACAGGCUUAACACAUGCAAGUCGAGGGGCAGCAUGAACUUAGCUUGCUAAGUUUGAUGGCGACCGGCGCACGGGUGAGUAACACGUAUCCAACCUGCCGAUGACUCGGGGAUAGCCUUUCGAAAGAAAGAUUAAUACCCGAUGGCAUAGUUCUUCCGCAUGGUGGAACUAUUAAAGAAUUUCGGUCAUCGAUGGGGAUGCGUUCCAUUAGGUUGUUGGCGGGGUAACGGCCCACCAAGCCUUCGAUGGAUAGGGGUUCUGAGAGGAAGGUCCCCCACAUUGGAACUGAGACACGGUCCAAACUCCUACGGGAGGCAGCAGUGAGGAAUAUUGGUCAAUGGACGAGAGUCUGAACCAGCCAAGUAGCGUGAAGGAUGACUGCCCUAUGGGUUGUAAACUUCUUUUAUACGGGAAUAAAGUGAGGCACGCGUGCCUUUUUGUAUGUACCGUAUGAAUAAGGAUCGGCUAACUCCGUGCCAGCAGCCGCGGUAAUACGGAGGAUCCGAGCGUUAUCCGGAUUUAUUGGGUUUAAAGGGAGCGUAGGCGGACGCUUAAGUCAGUUGUGAAAGUUUGCGGCUCAACCGUAAAAUUGCAGUUGAUACUGGGUGUCUUGAGUACAGUAGAGGCAGGCGGAAUUCGUGGUGUAGCGGUGAAAUGCUUAGAUAUCACGAAGAACUCCGAUUGCGAAGGCAGCUUGCUGGACUGUAACUGACGCUGAUGCUCGAAAGUGUGGGUAUCAAACAGGAUUAGAUACCCUGGUAGUCCACACAGUAAACGAUGAAUACUCGCUGUUUGCGAUAUACAGUAAGCGGCCAAGCGAAAGCGUUAAGUAUUCCACCUGGGGAGUACGCCGGCAACGGUGAAACUCAAAGGAAUUGACGGGGGCCCGCACAAGCGGAGGAACAUGUGGUUUAAUUCGAUGAUACGCGAGGAACCUUACCCGGGCUUGAAUUGCAACUGAAUGAUGUGGAGACAUGUCAGCCGCAAGGCAGUUGUGAAGGUGCUGCAUGGUUGUCGUCAGCUCGUGCCGUGAGGUGUCGGCUUAAGUGCCAUAACGAGCGCAACCCUUAUCGAUAGUUACCAUCAGGUGAUGCUGGGGACUCUGUCGAGACUGCCGUCGUAAGAUGUGAGGAAGGUGGGGAUGACGUCAAAUCAGCACGGCCCUUACGUCCGGGGCUACACACGUGUUACAAUGGGGGGUACAGAAGGCAGCUACACGGCGACGUGAUGCUAAUCCCUAAAGCCUCUCUCAGUUCGGAUUGGAGUCUGCAACCCGACUCCAUGAAGCUGGAUUCGCUAGUAAUCGCGCAUCAGCCACGGCGCGGUGAAUACGUUCCCGGGCCUUGUACACACCGCCCGUCAAGCCAUGAAAGCCGGGGGUACCUGAAGUGCGUAACCGCAAGGAGCGCCCUAGGGUAAAACUGGUGAUUGGGGCUAAGUCGUAACAAGGUAGCCGUACCGGAAGGUGCGGCUGGAACACCUCCUUUCU